Molecule: non-coding RNA, 567 nt
Organism: Misgurnus anguillicaudatus (oriental weatherfish)
Lineage: Eukaryota; Metazoa; Chordata; Actinopteri; Cypriniformes; Cobitidae
Source: RefSeq, a predicted model, not a curated record
UGUUGAAUGAUAUUUCAUAUCUUUCACAUUUGUUAUAACUGGGCUGCGUACUGCCUGCGAAUUUGAACUUCAGAGCUGAAGGUGCGAGUGGAGAAAUAGUCCCAAUAUCAUAACAAUCUUAAAACUUCUAAAUAUACCCGUGUGUGUACCCGUGUGCGUGCGUGUGUGCAAGCGCGUGCUCGCGCGUGUGCAUGUAUGUAUGUAUGCGCGUGCGUCUGUGUAUUUUGAAUUUAAAAUGUUUUAACUCGGAAGGAUCUGGAUCACAGGUCAUUUCAUCUGAGAUCAAUCCGCACGCAACAGCUGGAAUCACUUACUGAUUCACACAAGUCAGCCGUUUCCUCAAGUUCACGUCAGAGCGGAGAUGAUGUGAGGGGCAGACCCGAGACAUAGCGAGACAGUCUCUGCUUGGACUGGCUGAGGAAAGUCUCCUAAAAUGGCCCUGAAGAUGUUCUGACUGACGUUGGAGGCUUUUUGGACUGUUUUAUGCCCUCUAUUUAAAGAAGAUUUAAUUCUGUAUGUUCAGUCUGUAUGAUAAGUGAAUAAGUGAAUAAAAAGCUUUUGUUUUUA